Non-coding RNA from Aedes albopictus (Asian tiger mosquito), 58 nucleotides. The record is from Rfam. Lineage: Eukaryota; Metazoa; Arthropoda; Insecta; Diptera; Culicidae.
UAGCCUAGUGGUAGAGGCUAUGGAUUGCCAAUCCGGAGACGGCGGGUUCAAUUCCCGU